This is a long non-coding RNA of Thalassophryne amazonica, 150 nucleotides long. RefSeq lists it as uncharacterized. The record is from RefSeq and is a predicted model, not a curated record. Lineage: Eukaryota; Metazoa; Chordata; Actinopteri; Batrachoidiformes; Batrachoididae. The transcript has 3 exons.
AUUACCAGCCCUGCGAUAGACUGGCGUCCUGUCCAGGGUGUACCCCACCUCACGCCCUAUGACUACUGGGAUAGGCUCCAGCCCUCCACGUGACCUUACUUGGAGUAAGUGGGUUUGGAAAAUGAAUGGAGGAUUAAUGUAAACAUGACA